CUAUCAGUAGUCCAAUCUGGCAGGACGCUUGAUUUGGGUUCAAGAGGUUGUUGGUUCAAAUCCAGCCUGAUAGACCA
This 77-nucleotide transfer RNA is filed under the name Methanobrevibacter sp. Its description in RNAcentral is "tRNA-Pro". It matches the Rfam family "tRNA". From Rfam's summary of the family: Transfer RNA (tRNA) molecules are approximately 80 nucleotides in length. Their secondary structure includes four short double-helical elements and three loops (D, anti-codon, and T loops). The record is from RNAcentral. Lineage: Archaea; Methanobacteriati; Methanobacteriota; Methanobacteria; Methanobacteriales; Methanobacteriaceae.